RNAcentral lists this ribosomal RNA (588 nucleotides) under uncultured bacterium. RNAcentral's name for it is "partial 16S ribosomal RNA". It matches the Rfam family "Bacterial small subunit ribosomal RNA", at positions 355 to 1376 of the family's 1533-position model. The record is from RNAcentral.
UGGGGAAUAUUGGACAAUGGGCGAAAGCCUGAUCCAGCCAUGCCGCGUGUGUGAAGAAGGUCUUCGGAUUGUAAAGCACUUUAAGUUGGGAGGAAGGGCAUUUACCUAAUACGUAAGUGUUUUGACGUUACCGACAGAAUAAGCACCGGCUAACUCUGUGCCAGCAGCCGCGGUAAUACAGAGGGUGCAAGCGUUAAUCGGAAUUACUGGGCGUAAAGCGCGCGUAGGUGGUUUGUUAAGUUGGAUGUGAAAUCCCCGGGCUCAACCUGGGAACUGCAUUCAAAACUGACAAGCUAGAGUAUGGUAGAGGGUGGUGGAAUUUCCUGUGUAGCGGUGAAAUGCGUAGAUAUAGGAAGGAACACCAGUGGCGAAGGCGACCACCUGGACUGAUACUGACACUGAGGUGCGAAAGCGUGGGGAGCAAAACAGGAUUAGAUACCCUGGUAGUCCACGCCGUAAACGAUGUCAACUAGCCGUUGGGAGCCUUGAGCUCUUAGUGGCGCAGCUAACGCAUUAAGUUGACCGCCUGGGGAGUACGGCCGCAAGGUUAAAACUCAAAUGAAUUGACGGGGUCAUAGCUGUUUCCUG